AACGAACGCUGGUAGCGUGGAUUAGGCAUGCAAGUCGAACGCAGGAAGCUGACGGAACUCUUCGGAGGGAAGGCAGUGGAAUGAGCGGCGGACGGGUGAGUAACACGUAAGGAACCUGCCUCAAGGAUUGGGAUAACUCCGAGAAAUCGGAGCUAAUACCGGAUAGUUCAACGGACCGCAUGGUCCGCUGAUGAAAGGCGCUCCGGCGUCACCUUGAGAUGGCCUUGCGGUGCAUUAGCUAGUUGGUGGGGUAAUGGCCCACCAAGGCGACGAUGCAUAGCCGACCUGAGAGGGCGAUCGGCCACACUGGGACUGAGACACGGCCCAGACUCCUACGGGAGGCAGCAGUAGGGAAUCUUCCACAAUGGACGAAAGUCUGAUGGAGCAACGCCGCGUGAGUGAUGAAGGUUUUCGGAUCGUAAAACUCUGUUGUAAGGGAAGAACACGUACGAGAGGGAAUGCUCGUACCUUGACGGUACCUUACGAGAAAGCCACGGCUAACUACGUGCCAGCCGCCGCCGUAA
Molecule: ribosomal RNA, 524 nt
Filed under: uncultured bacterium
Lineage: Bacteria
Description: partial 16S ribosomal RNA
Rfam family: Bacterial small subunit ribosomal RNA
Source: RNAcentral